AUACGGAGGGUGCAAGCGUUACUCGGAAUCACUGGGCGUAAAGCGCGCGCAGGCGGCUAUUUAAGUUGGAUGUGAAAGCCUACGGCUCAACCGUAGAACUGCAUCCAAAACUAUUUAGCUAGGGUGUGGGAGAGGAAGAUGGAAUUAGUUGUGUAGGGGUAAAAUCCGUAGAGAUAACUAGGAAUACCAAAAGCGAAGGCAAUCUUCUGGAACACUACUGACGCUGAGGCGCGAAAGCGUGGGGAGCAAACAGGAGUAGAUACCCCAGUAGUCC
Molecule: ribosomal RNA, 274 nt
Filed under: uncultured bacterium
Lineage: Bacteria
Description: partial 16S ribosomal RNA
Rfam family: Bacterial small subunit ribosomal RNA
Source: RNAcentral